GUCCAUGCCGUAAACGUUGGGAACUAGGUGUGGGCCUCAUUCCACGAGGUCCGUGCCGCAGCUAACGCAUUAAGUUCCCCGCCUGGGGAGUACGGCCGCAAGGCUAAAACUCAAAGGAAUUGACGGGGCCCGCACAAGCGGCGGAGCAUGCGGAUUAAUUCGAUACAACGCGAAGAACCUUACCAAGGCUUGACAUAUACCGGAAAAGUGCAGAGAUGUGCUCCCCGCAAGGUCGGUAUACAGGUGGUGCAUGGUUGUCGU
RNAcentral lists this ribosomal RNA (261 nucleotides) under uncultured bacterium. RNAcentral's name for it is "partial 16S ribosomal RNA". It matches the Rfam family "Bacterial small subunit ribosomal RNA", at positions 793 to 1055 of the family's 1533-position model. The record is from RNAcentral.